AUUGAACGCUGGCGGCAGGCCUAACACAUGCAAGUCGAGCGGAUGAGAGGAGCUUGCUUCUCGAUUCAGCGGCGGACGGGUGAGUAAUGCCUAGGAAUCUGCCUGGUAGUGGGGGACAACGUUUCGAAAGGAACGCUAAUACCGCAUACGUCCUACGGGAGAAAGCAGGGGACCUUCGGGCCUUGCGCUAUCAGAUGAGCCUAGGUCGGAUUAGCUAGUUGGUGAGGUAAUGGCUCACCAAGGCGACGAUCCGUAACUGGUCUGAGAGGAUGAUCAGUCACACUGGGACUGAGACAAGGUCCAGACUCCUACGGGAGGCAGCAGUGGGGAAUAUUGGACAAUGGGCGAAAGCCUGAUCCAGCCAUGCCGCGUGUGUGAAGAAGGUCUUCGGAUUGUAAAGCACUUUAAGUCGGGAGGAAGGGCUGCAGGUUAAUACCUUGCAGUCUUGACGUUACCGACAGAAUAAGCACCGGCUAACUUCAAGGCUGCAAGGUAUUAAC
RNAcentral lists this ribosomal RNA (500 nucleotides) under uncultured bacterium. Its description in RNAcentral is "partial 16S ribosomal RNA". It matches the Rfam family "Bacterial small subunit ribosomal RNA", at positions 30 to 524 of the family's 1533-position model. The record is from RNAcentral.